UUUUUGUGGGGAUCUCCUAUUAAGAGGAGGGAGAAGGGAGGGGAAGAAAAAGAAAAGAAUCGGAGAAGGGAGGUGGUUGAUCUUGGAAGCUAAGGGAAAUGAGGGAUUUGCUUGAAGCUAAGCACAUAUUGCUUGAGUGGAGAUUACCCAAGUAUGGUUACUAUGUCUUCAAUGUUUCCAUUAAAACCUUGUUCUUCUUCUCUGUUUGUCUUCUCUUCACUACCCUUUGUUGUUGCGCAUGGGUAGGCUUGAUAUGUAUAUAAAAGUUGUUUCUGGUAAUAGAGAUUUUCAUCACUGAAUGAACCCAUUUUAAAAGAAAUUUUCUGUCGGAUGAGGACUUUUUAUUUCCUUUUAGAGAGCACAUCCAUUCAUUUUUUGUGGGGCUCUCCUAUUAGAGGAGGGAGAAGGGAGGGAAAGAAAAAGAAAAGAAUCGGAGAAGGGAGGUUGUUGAUCUUGGAAGCUAAGGGAAAUGAGGGAUUUGCUUGAUGCUAAACACAUAUUGCUUGAGUGGAGAUUACCCAGGUAUGGUUACUAUGUCUUCAAUGUUUCCAUUAAAUCCUUGUUCUUCUCUGUUUAUCUUCUCUUCGCUGCCCUUUGUUGCGCAUGCAUUCAUUUUUUGUGGGGAUCUCCUAUUAGAGGAGGGAGAAGAGAGGGGAAGAAAAAGAAAAGAAUCGGAGAAGGGAGGUUGUUGAUCUUGGAAGCUAAGGGAAAUGAGGGAUUUGCUUGAAGCUAAGCACAUAUUGCUUGAGUGGAGAUUACCCAUGGUUACUAUGCUUUCAAUGUUUCCAUUAAAACCUUGUUCUUCUCUGUUUAUCUUCUCUUCAUUGCCCUUUGUUGGGCAUGCAUUGAUUUUUACUGGGGAUCUCCUAUUAGAGGAGGGAGAAGGGAGGGGAAGAAAAAGAAAAGAAUCAGAGAAGGGAGGUUGUUGAUCUUGGAAGCUAAGGGAAACGAGGGAUUUGCUUGAUGCUAAGCACAUAUUGCUUGAGUGGAGAUUACCCAGGUAUGGUUACUAUGUUUUCAAUGUUUCCAUUAAAACCUUGUUCUUCUCUGUUUAUCUUCUCUUCACUGCCCUUUGUUGGGCAUGCAUUGAUUUUUACUGGGGAUCUCCUAUUAGAGGAGGGAGAAGGGAGGGGAAGAAAAAGAAAAGAAUCGGAGAAGGGAGGUUGUUGAUCUUGGAAGCUAAGGGAAAUGAGGGAUUUGCUUGAUGCUAAGCACAUAUUGCUUGAGUGGAGAUUACCCAGGUAUGGUUACUAUGUCUUCAAUGUUUCCAUUAAAACCUUGUUCUUCUCUUUUUAUCUUCUCUUCACUGCCCUUUGUUGCGCAUGCGUUCAUUUUUUGUGGGGGUCUCCUAUUAGAGGAGGGAGAAGGGAGGGGAAGAAAAAGAAAAGAAUCGGAGAAGGGAGGUUGUUGAUCUUGGAAGCUAAGGGAAAUGAGGGAUUUGCUUGAUGCUAAGCACAUAUUGCUUGAGUGGAGAUUACCCAGGUAUGGUUACUAUGUCUUCAAUGUUUCCAUUAAAACCUUGUUCUUCUCUUUUUAUCUUCUCUUCACUGCCCUUUGUUGCGCAUGCGUUCAUUUUUUGUGGGGAUCUCCUAUUAGAGGAGGGAGAAGGGAGGGGAAGAAAAAGAAAAGAAUCGGAGAAGGGAGGUUGUUGAUCUUGGAAGCUAAGGGAAAUGAGGGAUUUGCUCGAUGCUAAGCACAUAUUUGCUUGAGUGGAGAUUACCCAGGUAUGGUUACUAUGUCUUCAAUGUUUCCAUUAAAAC
RNAcentral lists this long non-coding RNA (1760 nucleotides) under Vitis vinifera (wine grape). RNAcentral describes it as "long non-coding RNA (VVIN_LNC000372)". Lineage: Eukaryota; Viridiplantae; Streptophyta; Magnoliopsida; Vitales; Vitaceae. The record is from RNAcentral.